UACGUAGGGUGCGAGCGUUAAUCGGAAUUACUGGGCGUAAAGCGUGCGCAGGCGGUUUUGUAAGCCAGAUGUGAAAGCCCCGGGCUUAACCUGGGAAUGGCAUUUGGGACUGCAAGGCUGGAGUGUGGCAGAGGAGACUGGAAUUCCUGGUGUAGCAGUGAAAUGCGUAGAUAUCAAGAGGAACACCUGCGGCGAAGGCGGGUUGCUGGGCUGACACUGACGCUGAGGCGCGAAAGCUAGGGGAGCGAACGGG
RNAcentral lists this ribosomal RNA (253 nucleotides) under uncultured bacterium. RNAcentral's name for it is "partial 16S ribosomal RNA". It matches the Rfam family "Bacterial small subunit ribosomal RNA", at positions 524 to 776 of the family's 1533-position model. The record is from RNAcentral.